Molecule: ribosomal RNA, 496 nt
Filed under: uncultured bacterium
Lineage: Bacteria
Description: partial 16S ribosomal RNA
Rfam family: Bacterial small subunit ribosomal RNA
Source: RNAcentral
GACGAACGCUGGCGGCGUGCCUAAUACAUGCUAGUUGAGCGCUGAAGGUUGGUACUUGUACCAACUGGAUGAGCAGCGAACGGGUGAGUAACGCGUGGGGAAUCUGCCUUUGAGCGGGGGACAACAUUUGGAAACGAAUGCUAAUACCGCAUAAAAACUUUAAACACAAGUUUUAAGUUUGAAGAUGCAAUUGCAUCACUCAAAGAUGAUCCCGCGUUGUAUUAGCUAGUUGGUGAGGUAAAGGCUCACCAAGGCGAUGAUACAUAGCCGACCUGAGAGGGUGAUCGGCCACAUUGGGACUGAGACACGGCCCAAACUCCUACGGGAGGCAGCAGUAGGGAAUCUUCGGCAAUGGACGAAAGUCUGACCGAGCAACGCCGCGUGAGUGAAGAAGGUUUUCGGAUCGUAAAACUCUGUUGGUAGAGAAGAACGUUGGUGAGAGUGGAAAGCUCAUCAAGUGACGGUAACUACCCAGAAAGGGACGGCUAACUACGUG